ACCUUUCAUGAGAGUCCAAAGCAGAAAUGUUAGACCAUCAGUCAUAGAGCCAUGUGGGGAAACGAAAAGACGUAGAAAAAGCCAGACAGAAAUUAAUAGAAUCUAGCCUGCCUUCCUUCUCGAAAGUUCACGUUUAUUUGGUUUCACUGAUAGUCCUCAACAGGGCACAACACAGUGGCGAACACAGCACUCCACCCUGAGAAAUGUCCCCUCUCUUAGGAAGGACAACCCAGUCUGAUCUUACCCCCCCUCUCAACACACACACACACACACACACACACACACACACACACACACACACACACACACACAACUAAUAAGGGCAGUCUAGAAAUGCUUCUUGGAAGAAGUGACUUCUGAGCUGUUCCUGGAAAAGCUAAACCUUGGGGCACAGGGUGGGAGCAGGACAGACAUUUCCAGCAAGAUUUAUCAGAGAGGGAAAUUUCCCCUGUCUUAAAGGUAGAGGCUAUCCUGCCCCAGGAGCCAGCAAGGACAAUCUGGAAAGGAGGUGGGAUUGGGGUGAUCUGGGUCUAAUUAAGAAGCCAGGGCAUGUACUGAGGUAGCCAGCAUCACCUGCCUGAGGGCACUGGAGAUCAUGGUAAAGAUUAUGUCCUCUAUCCUCAGAAAGCUUAGUGGCUUGAGUCUAGUGGGUUUCUGACAAGUUCAGACUUGCCCAGCAGGCUAUAGAACAAUUUGCCAGGGUUAGCUGCAAGGAGUCUCUUGGGACCAGAAUCUGUAGAAGGGAGGUAGGCCAUCUGAGGGGACAGCUUGGGCUUUAGAGGGGAUGGAGAGGACCUCUGGGGAGGGGGGGUUUCUUCUGGCUCAGGCCCAUUUGGCUCCUGGCCACCCAGUCUUGUGGAUAGCCAGAGAGCCAAGUUGGAGAGCCAGUGAUGACGGCGGAAAAAGUUGUUUCACUUAAGCAGGGGUUGAAAACUCGUGGCUUGUGGGCUGAAUAGCAUUUUGAAAUUUGGGAAGCCUUAUGUAAAAAUCAGACUUUCUGGUUUUGUUUAAAAAUGUCCUAGACCUGGCAGUCAUGGGUACCAGUUUCCAUAGGACAGCCACUAGCUGAGACUAGGUCAUCCCCUUCAGACACGACUUUGUUAUUCUCUGCCACCUGGUCAGGGGUUUAUGGUUGUCACCUUUGCCCACAUGUCUCCUAUGUUAGAUAGCUAGCCACCUUGAAGGACAUCAGGGUAGACCCCUUCCUCCUACACCACAAUUGUAGAGACAAGGACUGGAACUGUGGGAUGCUACUGACAAGAGAGAUGUGAUCCGAAUCAUAUCCCAGGAGGAGAAAGGAAGUUCCAGAACAGUUCUAGAGAUUGUUCAAACGCAGGUCACCAGGCUUGGAAACAAGUACCUUGUCCCAUGGAACCAUCAGCAUGGCCCUAAUUGGGGUUUUUAUCGAAGCAGUACAUUUUUAUAGACGGAGUACAUUCAGGACUAUGGACAAUUUACGAGAGCUACCCAUACAAAGAAACAUCCCUCCAGAUCAACUUUCAUUACUUUCUUAUAUGUUCCUCAGGGAAGGGCAAGGCCUCCUGUGUCUCCAACAUGCAGCCAUGUGAGUCACUCACGUGUGACCCAUGAGCCUUCUCUUCCCCUACGAGGGAAUGAAUGCUAUGCACUCCGGUCCUGUGAGGGUUCUGUGUGGGUACUCACAAUUGUUCUGAUUUCAUGACAUCAGCAUGUUAUGUCCAGAGGACAGCAUUCCACAAGAGUUUGUGGGCCACCCAUCAGGAGCUGAAAGAGAAAUUUUGGACUCAAUGGAAACUCUCAGCUACUAUUCCAGCACCAUGCCUGCCUACCUGAUGCCACGAUCCUCGCCAUGAUAGUUAUGGACUCAUCCUCUGAAACUGACCUGGUCUUUAGUCUGGGUCCUACGAAGAGGAGGAUGUGACCUGCUUCCAGCUCCACAGUGGCCGCCUGGCACAGACUUGGAUGAAAAGUCAAUCCACACCCCUUGGCAAAGCGGAGAUCAGAGCUGGGCUUUAAGAAUCCACUGAAACCAGCCAGUAAUUCAGAAACGUCCUCUGGUCUCUGUCUGGGAUGCACCCGCCUUUCAGCUGCAAGUGAGCUUGGUAUGGUAUCGGGCAGUAAAAGACCAGGGCCUGCCUGAAGUGGAAAUGACACAAAGAUGAUAAUGGGGUCAUGAACCAAGGAGAAAGGGGAACCCCCUUCCACUUCCUCUUCCCUGCCCCCACUAGGCUGUCCAGCCUCCCAGCCCUGUACAAAAGCCAGGUUCCAUUUGAAAGUUUACUGUGUAAGCCAGUAAGUCCCCUUGACUGGCUUUGGUUUGUCUUUGCCAGAAGCCAAUUUAUAUGAGCUAGGCUGGCCCUCUGAGAAACUUUGGGAAGCCAUGACCCUUGAGUGCUUCUUGCCCUCCCCUGAGAGGCACACUCCUAGCCAUCCACUCUCAUUCCUUCUCCAGGGCCCAGAACUCACAACCCUCAAGGGGCCUUGGCAAAGGCUUCCCCGGAGCCAGAUGGAUGGGAACAGUUCUAGGCUCCCACACACUAGUGGUGCAGGAUGGCCUGUAGGGGCAGAGCCUGCACCACUGAGUCCCUCCCUUGCAGUCACAGUCACCCUCCAGUUAGGGUCUAACCCCAUAGCAAGCCCAGCUCUAACACUGAGGCUUUCAAUGUCACGCUCAGUGUUCCAUAGACCUGCAAAGCCAUUUUUUUGGGGGGGGCGGGGGGGGGGAAUCAUUUCAGUUCAAAUGAAACUGUCCCUGACUGACUGUCUCUGAAAGGAUUCAUGCCGGUGUUGACCCCUUUGUGGUAGUGACAUUCAUUUGAAAGUAAUCUUUUCCUUAAAAGUCAUUUGCUUGUGUCUUUGCUCGCACGUGCAUGCACAAGAAUGCACACAUGCAGGCACACUGGGCGUGCAUGUAGUGUAUGCAUGUGUGUCCAUAUGUGCACACGCAAAGACCAGAGGAGAAUGUCUGGCAUCCUGCUCCAUUGCUCUGCCCUGUUUCCCUAAGUCUGCAUCUCUCAUAGAACCUAGAAGUUAGGUUGGUAACUAGAAAGUAUCAGCUCUUUGCUCCUGUCUCCUCCCUCUAACAGCACUGGGGUUCCAUGUACAUUUGAGACAGCCUGGCUUUUUAACAAAAUCAGAGUGCUGGGAUCCAUGCUCGUGUAGUCCUCCAGCCCUCUCACUGGCUGACUCACCUCUCCAGCCUUCAGAACGGUCUUGUUAUUUCCUUUCUUACUUUGCAUUGAGUCCAGCACUAGAAUGUCAGUGACGUCACAGGUUUCACACGCCGUAGCUGCUCAAUAAAUACUUGCUGCCUCAACAGCAACUUGAAUACGUGAACCAUUCUCCUAACGUGAGCACAUGGAAAGGCAGGCCCAAGUACCAGAGACCGAAGGCUUCCUUUACAGCACUUGGGGAGGCAGAGGACAGGCAAGACGCUGUUCUGUCUGUACUGGACCAGCUAGGUAGACUGGCUAGGUGGAGGUCCUAGCUGGUGGGGAAGGACACAAGAGUAGUUCGUGUCCUUAUCACCUCCACCUUCCUGCCUUCCCUCUUGAACUUUUGAGUUCUGAGCCAUUGCUUGCCCCCACGCUCUUGGCUCCUCCUCUUCUUCCUACUUCCCCAUCUCCCACUGAGCACCAGACCCACAGCUUCUGCCUUCAGUGGCCGUCUGUCUGAGAGGCUCUGGAGGAAACCCAUCACCAGAGAGCUGUGGCCUGGACCUGCCCUAUCCCUCCUAUCUUUCUGAUAACAGCAUACCUACUUACACAUGGAAGCCACACUUCCUUUCAAGUGUGGGCUUCAUGCCAGAGAGGCCUCUGGGCCUUUAGGUCACGGUGCUAAAUGGGCACAAGAACAGGCACAUUAAGAAUUUAGUUUUUAACUCAUUCAUUAACUUUGAUUAAUUUCCUGGGGCAGUGGGGACUGAACCUAGAAUCUUGUACAUGCUAGGGGGAGCGUUCACUGAGCCUGUUUAUAUUUCGUUCAGUCUCUUUUGAUUCUCUGUAGCCCACGCUGGCUGGCUUCAGUUCCU
Molecule: non-coding RNA, 4009 nt
Organism: Rattus norvegicus (Norway rat)
Lineage: Eukaryota; Metazoa; Chordata; Mammalia; Rodentia; Muridae
Source: RefSeq, a predicted model, not a curated record